CAGACAGGCUGCAGCUCAACACCAAAUCCAGGUAGAGUUCAUGUGUUUUCCAUCUGGGAAGAAUUUUAGUGUUUCUACAGUAUAAAGAACAAUAUACAGAAACAAUAAUAGUUAGAUUAUGUUUUCAAAAUCAUUGAUUUGCAGACAUGAAUUUUUACCAGCUAAUGAAUGAGAAAAAGGUCAGGACCUCUUUCCAAGGCCCAUUACAGCCCUAUAUGGUUUUUUUUAAUUGGCUUUGAGAAACUGUUGUCGACACGGCCAGACAGAAUUUAAUUGCAUGAUAGGUUGCUGGAUACAUUUCAUUUCAUUGUUAGUUCUGAUUACUCAACUAUAUCCCCAAAUUAAUCUGUAAAUUUGCAGCAAAUUUGCAAAAAAAAAAAAAAAAAAAAAAAAAAAAAAAAGGCCCACAUACCUGUCUUUGCAAUAGAGAAAGGUAGUGGAAAAACAUUGAAAAUAACCGCUGGAAAGAAGGUGAAUAUAGGAGAUUUUCAAUUUCCCAGUGAAAACAUUAGUUUCCAGCCACACACUCACCUGGGAGCUGCAGGAAAUGGGGAACGUUUCACAUCAAGGCAUGAGCCGAGAGUGGGGAAUACAGCACAGGAAACACAAAACUCAACCCCUUCCUGUCCAACUCUGAGUGUGUGUUAGUGUGUGCAAGUAAGGGAGAACAAGAUUAUAUCAUAACCAUCACAUUUCUGGGUCUUUGUGUGAAUAAACUGUAUGACUACGACAUACAUUUUAAACACAUCUGUGCAAAAACAGAGUUCUUUUCUUUUUUUAAUGUUUUCACCAAAAAAUAAGAACCAACAUGGUUGCACGCUCAUAUUUCAUUCACCAUUCACAAGGGCAACAGAGGCAGGUAUAACGGGCCAUUUAAUCUACAGCACACAGCUGCAUCUUUCUAAUGACCUGGAGAGGGAGCUGUUCUGGUUGCAAAAGCAAACCUGCUUAUGUAGAGUUGGAUGGAAAUACCCCCUUUGGUCCGUUUGAACUAUGACCUCAAUAAAUUCUUUCCUCGGAAGUUCAAGGGUGUUAUUUAAUAAAAUAUGUUCAUUUUGUAAAUGAUGGUCCUCAUUAGAGUCAAAAAGGUAGAUGAAUAUGGUUGGGCCUACCUUAUGAUGGAAAAGUUACUGUAUGAGGGUG
Long non-coding RNA from Astatotilapia calliptera (eastern happy), 1143 nucleotides. The record is from Ensembl. Lineage: Eukaryota; Metazoa; Chordata; Actinopteri; Cichliformes; Cichlidae.